Molecule: unclassified non-coding RNA, 220 nt
Filed under: uncultured fungus
Lineage: Eukaryota; Fungi
Description: partial contains 5.8S ribosomal RNA, internal transcribed spacer 2, and large subunit ribosomal RNA
Source: RNAcentral
AAGGAUCAUUAAAGAGUAAGGGUGCUCAGCGCCCGACCUCCAACCCUUUGUUGUUAAAACUACCUUGUUGCUUUGGCGGGACCGCUCGGUCUCGAGCCGCUGGGGAUUCGUCCCAGGCGAGCGCCCGCCAGAGUUAAACCAAACUCUUGUUAUUUAACCGGUCGUCUGAGUUAAAAUUUUGAAUAAAUCAAAACUUUCAACAACGGAUCUCUUGGUUCUC